RNAcentral lists this ribosomal RNA (106 nucleotides) under Listeria welshimeri. The record is from RNAcentral. Lineage: Bacteria; Bacillati; Bacillota; Bacilli; Caryophanales; Listeriaceae.
AUGGCGAGAAGGUCACACCCGUUCCCAUCCCGAACACGGUAGUUAAGCUUCUCUGCGCCAAUGGUAGUUGGGGGUUUACCCCUGCGAGAGUAGGUCGCUGCCGGGC